This is a non-coding RNA of Tauraco erythrolophus (red-crested turaco), 47 nucleotides long. Lineage: Eukaryota; Metazoa; Chordata; Aves; Musophagiformes; Musophagidae. The record is from Rfam.
CCAAAGGCUCUUUUAAGAGCCACUCCAUGCACAACAAAGAGAGCUGU